Molecule: long non-coding RNA, 2177 nt
Filed under: Equus caballus (horse)
Lineage: Eukaryota; Metazoa; Chordata; Mammalia; Perissodactyla; Equidae
Description: lncRNA (ENSECAG00000057589.1)
Source: RNAcentral
UACAACUGGAAGUUCAGUAAAAGCAAUUCCACAAGGAGCCAAAUUUAUACAGCCUGGGCAUCAGAUCUGGCGGUCUGGAUAGACCCACAGUUAAAAUUGGAUAUGUGGCCCAACCCUCCAGCAAGCUCAUAGAAUAUUGCAAAUUCAGCCUAUUUAAGACUGUUAGCAAGAAUCAGGAGACAAAAGUGACAUUUAUCUUAAAUUUUCAACCCUAGUGAAUUUUCCUGGUAGGCUGGGUUGGUUUUACACUUCUUUAACAGAUGAAGAAACUCAGGCUCAGAGAGCCUAUUUACGUGACCAGAAAAUAUCAGAGCCAGCUCUAAAUCGAUGUCUUAGGCAUCCCUUCCUCAGCCUUGCCCACCACACAUGCUUCAACAAAAGCGUUUAUGCCCUUAGGAUCUCUCUGCGGAUGGUGGGCCGCAGUACCCAGGAGGGUGUUGUCCUACACACUUGAGGAGAGCUAGUGAGAAGGGGAACUAGGCCCAGCCAGUGAGGAGGCACACUUUUUCCAGAGGUCCAUUGUAAUCCAACCCCCCACCCCUCUUCCUGGCACAACUCCUUGUACCCCAGGCAGGGAAGUAAGGCUAACAUUACACAGAUGGGGAAAUACUUCCACCUCCAAACAUAAAAAUGAUCUUGCAGCAUACACUUGACUUCACUCAUUUAUUCACUUUUCACUACAAGGUGGGAAUAGGUGGGCCCUCAGCUCGGGGAGUUCUGGGAGCUUUGCUAGAGGAGGAGAGGAAAACGGGAAAGUGGGGCCUUAUUGCAGGGUAGGCUUCUAAGGGAAAGAAGAUGGGGAGAAGAAAGGAGAGAGGAAACACGGAUCCAGGCCCGUCUUCCAUCUCUCGUCCAGGCUUCCCAAGCGCAAGUAGAAAGAGUGACAGGACACUCACACAGACAUGUCCUUGAUCCCUUCUCGUCCUUCCCCCACCAUCCAGCAAUAACGUGAGAGAAAUCAAAGAAGUACAGGAGGCGGGCAGCGGACAGUCUUGGUAAGGAAAAAAAAAAAAAAAACAGGUGCACUGGGCUCCAACGCACAGCUGAGACCUCCCUCCUCCCGGCUGGCGGCGGCGGGCGCAGGGAGGAGAGCGGCGCGAGCGCACGCGGGCCGGCCGCCGGGCCGUGCGGCGCCCUCAGCUGAGGACUGCCCUCUUCUUCCCGCCGCAGCCGCGCUCCGCCGCUUUCCGGCCCGGGCCGCUGUCCCCGCUGCCGCUGCUGCUGCUGGCGGGCGGGCGCAGCACGGUCCUCCGCACCACGGUCCUCCGCACGCGGAACUCGCCGCCGCGGUAGGUGACGCGCACGUCGGUGCGCGGGUACGUGCCGUACACGCGCCGCAGCUCCCGCCGCACAAAGUCGGGCAGCUCCAGGCGCGGACCCAGCGCACGCACCACGUGGCCCCAGCGCAGCUCAGCCUGUAGGCGGCCGCCCUCCGGCCACGGCGCCGCGCUCUCGGCCGCCGCCAUCCCUGCCGCUGCGGGCGCCUGAGGCGACGGCCCCAGGUAGCCGGGGGCGGCGUAGGCCUGCGGGAAGACCCACAAGGGCGGCACGGCCCCCAGGGGCGCACCCGGGCCGUGGAAGCAGUGGUAUUCCCGCGGGGCGCCCCACUCCCCCGCUCUCAGGCUCCGGGGCCGGCUGCAGAAGUUGUGGGCCUGGAUGGGGGGCAGCAGCAGAGGGGCCGGCAGGCAAAGGGAAACACCUUGAGCUGGCCAGGAGCCAGCCAGCCUUUGUCUACAUUGGAUGAGCCUGCUGGCUCCAAGCUAGACGCUGAGGCCUUUACUCAUGGUUGGCUUCACCACAACUUGCCCACAUUCACCCAGCCAGUUACGAUCCAAUGUAAUCACAAGAGUCUUUAAAUGUCGAAGAGGGAGGCCAAAGAGUCGGAGUGAUGUAACAUGAGCGUUGACCAGCCAUUGCUGGCUUUGAAGAUGGAAGAGGGGCGCGAGCUGAGGAGUGCAGGCAGCCUCUAGAAGCUGGAAAAGGGGAAAAAAUGGAUUCUUCCCUGGAGCCUCCAGAAAGGAACGCAGUCCUGCCAACACUUUAAUUUUCGCCAGUGAGACCCAUUUCAGACUUCUGACCUCCACAACUGACAGAAGUCUGAAAGAAAGCAUUCUGGAUUGAGAGGUGAAGGCCUGACUGAGCAUGGAGCCACAGAAGAAGUGGAGCCAGGGGACAGA